AUUGCUUUCUGUUAUCAGUUAAUUCUAGUCCAGUAAGCACACAUUUUGCACCUAUUUGGUACAAUAUUCUACCUAUUGUCCUUUGAAAAGAAGCUGCCUAUAUUGGAGGCAUUCAGGAGCUGGGCAUUUUAUAAAUGUAAGUCAGGGUUCUGACAGAUUAUCUCUGACAGAUUUAGAUGCAGUGAUAGAAUGCUCACACUUUACACCUUGCUUCUCAGCUGGAAGUAACCACCUGAAGAGCAAAGGCACCAGAUUGGAUGUGUGAUGUAGCUCACAGGACAGCUGAAACUGCUUAUGAAAACUUCUUGAGAAAAUUUCAUGAUCUGAACAACUGCUACAGCUUGUUGUAGCAGUGAAGGGCUAAAGCACUAACAGAAACUCGAGUACUUCUCUAAUUUAUUGAAGAAGAUAACUGAAAUUUGACAUUAUACUCUUCUGAAAUGGAAAGAAGGGAAGUGAGGCUGCAAAGGCCAACCUUGAAUCUCAAAAAUGACCAGAGAAGUUUGAAGUUGCCUCUGAGAAGAAGAUAUGGGACUUGCAAUCCUCAGCAGUCAGGAAAAAGCUUAUCCACAUUAGCUGAGGUGGUUCCGGAGGUGGCCGUGCCCACGGGAGCUCAUGGAGCCUGCCCUGCCCUGCCCUGCCUGGGCUCCUGGAGGAUGGGACUGCCGUGCUGAUGGAAAGGUGCUCAUCCUUCCUCUUUUGUGUGCUUAAGAUCCAGCUGUACAUCUUCUAUGCCUGUGUUU
This 743-nucleotide long non-coding RNA is filed under the name Lonchura striata (white-rumped munia). Its description in RNAcentral is "domestica (Bengalese finch) lncRNA (ENSLSDG00000002485.1)". Lineage: Eukaryota; Metazoa; Chordata; Aves; Passeriformes; Estrildidae. The record is from RNAcentral.